AAUAAGUGUAGCCAUGAGUUUUCGCGCCUAACUUUGAUCGUCCGUCUUAUUUGAAAUUUUUUUAAAUUAACAUUUUUAUUAUUAUAAGAUGAUAAAAUAUGACUAGUACUUUACUCGUGACUUAUGCUUUUAAUUUUUUUCAAUAAAUUUUUAAAUAAGACGAAUGGUUAAAAUUGGGUACGGAAAACCAUAGCUACACUUAUU
Non-coding RNA from Oryza glumipatula, 204 nucleotides. NCBI's taxonomy places the organism in Eukaryota, Viridiplantae, Streptophyta, Magnoliopsida, Poales, Poaceae. The record is from Rfam.